UAAGCGUGCGCAGGCGGUUUUGUAAGACUGUCGUGAAAUCCCCGGGCUCAACCUGGGAAUGGCGAUGGUGACUGCAAGGCUAGAGUUUGGCAGAGGGGGGUAGAAUUCCGCGUGUAGCAGUGAAAUGCGUAGAUAUGCGGAGGAACACCGAUGGCGAAGGCAAUCCCCUGGGCCUGUACUGACGCUCAUGCACGAAAGCGUGGGGAGCAAACAGGAUUAGAUACCCUAGU
Molecule: ribosomal RNA, 230 nt
Filed under: uncultured bacterium
Lineage: Bacteria
Description: partial 16S ribosomal RNA
Rfam family: Bacterial small subunit ribosomal RNA
Source: RNAcentral